This 843-nucleotide long non-coding RNA is filed under the name Anas platyrhynchos platyrhynchos (common mallard). RNAcentral's name for it is "lncRNA (ENSAPLG00000022352.1)". Lineage: Eukaryota; Metazoa; Chordata; Aves; Anseriformes; Anatidae. The record is from RNAcentral.
UUUCAGGAUACCGUUCGACAAGCUGAAGAUCUGAAGACUAGACAGCGGGAGAAAGAUAUUUCAUCAGAAUAACACUGGGGCUGGGGCAAAACCAAGUGUCAGAGCCAGUUCUUUGGGCACCAGUUGAGCCCACUCGCAUGCCCCACCACGUAGGAGUGACUGAGGGACAUUGUAUGAAAUGGCUUUCUAUGAAAUGCUGGAUCAGCAGAGAAGGAGCCACCCGGAGAUAUUUGGUGUUUCGGGGAAGCACGAGAAAGCCAGAUACCACUUCUGUUUCCUGAGACACCUGCCUGUACCUCAGCCUCUGUCUGUGCUGGAAACACUUCCCUGCUAUUGGAAACCUGCCCCAAUCUGCUGGCAACGUGCGCACGCUGAUGCGAGGGCCUCUUUGUGCCACUGCAGUAAGCCCACCUCCAGAAUUACCACAAAGAAUGCAACUGCCACCGAUACAAAAGCCUCCCUGAGCUUUGGGUGUCCUCCCCCUCUGUGGAGAGCCUCUGUCCCCAAAACAUGUCAGCUGGGGACUCUCCCUUUCAUCACCAGCCUCUGUGGCUUUCAGCAUCAAAAGGAAGAUCUGCAUUCAUCUGCUUCUGAGACGUGCUUCCCAACCCUGGUACGGAAAGCAUUGCAAUGGCAUAGCACAGUCACGACAUGAGGGGUGAGCGUCAAACCCCAGACACUGGAUUCCUGGGAUUAGUCAAUUCUGGUAGCCUUAAUAUUUAAUGAAGAGUAACUAGUUGGCUUUCUUAUUGCAGAGAUAAGUUGAAAAAUGCAAAUUGUGUGUAUUGAAAAGGCCCAGAAAGCUGGAGGCAAAUAAAUAGAUUAUUUUUAUUUUAAACCUCA